GAUGAACGCUGGCGGCGUGCCUAAUACAUGCAAGUCGAGCGAACAGACGAGGAGCUUGCUCCUCUGACGUUAGCGGCGGACGGGUGAGUAACACGUGGAUAACCUACCUAUAAGACUGGGAUAACUUCGGGAAACCGGAGCUAAUACCGGAUAAUAUAUUGAACCGCAUGGUUCAAUAGUGAAAGACGGUUUUGCUGUCACUUAUAGAUGGAUCCGCGCCGCAUUAGCUAGUUGGUAAGGUAACGGCUUACCAAGGCAACGAUGCGUAGCCGACCUGAGAGGGUGAUCGGCCACACUGGAACUGAGACACGGUCCCGACUCCUACGGGAGGCAGCAGUAGGGAAUCUUCCGCAAUGGGCGAAAGCCUGACGGAGGAACGCCGCGUGAGUGAUGAAGGUCUUCGGAUCGGAAAACUCUGUUAUUAGGGAAAAACAAAUGUGUAAGUAACUAUGCACGUCUUGACGGUACCUAAUCAGAAAGCCACGGCUAACUACGUG
This 497-nucleotide ribosomal RNA is filed under the name uncultured bacterium. Its description in RNAcentral is "partial 16S ribosomal RNA". It matches the Rfam family "Bacterial small subunit ribosomal RNA", at positions 28 to 507 of the family's 1533-position model. The record is from RNAcentral.